Molecule: ribosomal RNA, 385 nt
Filed under: uncultured bacterium
Lineage: Bacteria
Description: bacterial SSU rRNA
Rfam family: Bacterial small subunit ribosomal RNA
Source: RNAcentral
UAACACGUGACCAACCUGCCCAGAAGCAGGGGAUAAGCCACCGAAAGGUGGUCUAAUACCGUAUGUGAUACCAAGAGGCAUCUCUUGGAUAUUAAAGGGGGGGACCUUCGGGCCUCUCACUUCUGGAUGGGCUCGCGGCCUAUCAGCUUGUUGGUGAGGUAACGGCUCACCAAGGCAACGACGGGUAGCUGGUCUGAGAGGACGACCAGUCACACUGGAACUGAGACACGGUCCAGACACCUACGGGUGGCAGCAGUCGAGAAUCAUUCACAAUGGGCGAAAGCCUGAUGGUGCGACGCCGCGUGGAGGAUGACAGCCCUAGGGUUGUAAACUCCUGUCAUGAGAGAGUAAAGACUUAACGUUAAUACCGUUGGGUCCUGAUAGU